UACGUAGGGGGCUAGCGUUGUCCGGAAUCAUUGGGCGUAAAGAGCGCGUAGGCGGCCAGAUCAGUCCGGUGUGAAAGUCACAGGCUCAACCUGUGAAUGCCGCUGGAAACUGUCUGGCUAGAGUCCGGAAGGGGCGAGUGGAAUUCCUGGUGUAGCGGCGAAAUGCGCAGAUAUCAGGAGGAACACCAAUGGCGAAGGCAGCUCGCUGGGACGGUACUGACGCUGAGGCGCGAAAGCUAGGGGAGCAAACGGG
RNAcentral lists this ribosomal RNA (253 nucleotides) under uncultured bacterium. Its description in RNAcentral is "partial 16S ribosomal RNA". It matches the Rfam family "Bacterial small subunit ribosomal RNA", at positions 524 to 776 of the family's 1533-position model. The record is from RNAcentral.